RNAcentral lists this long non-coding RNA (526 nucleotides) under Lathyrus oleraceus (garden pea). Its description in RNAcentral is "Pisum sativum (pea) long non-coding RNA (PSAT_LNC009926)". Lineage: Eukaryota; Viridiplantae; Streptophyta; Magnoliopsida; Fabales; Fabaceae. The record is from RNAcentral.
AAUACAACAACAAAUCCACAAUAAAAGAAAAUGAUAACACACACAAAACAACCACAAAAAGGUGAACAAAAAGAUAGUAAGAGUAAAAAAUCUCAAAAAAAAGUUAGUAAACCAAAGUCAAACAUUUUUGUAAGCUUGAAUCUAAAUCAUCUCAAAAGAUCAACCAAGAACAAGCAACCAUUUUUAAUUUAAAAAAAUGAACCGAAAAGUUAAAAAGUUUAAGUUAAAAUCAUUACCCACAAAAUAUGAAAAAAAGGCUAGGUAGAAAUGGUGUUGAGUUUGAAUGUGAAGCAAUGGGUUUGGGAUGAAAAUAUUUAUGGUGAAAGCUUAGUAAAGGGGUUGAGUUAUGAGUGUUAGAGAGUGAGAAAUUUUGAGGAAAAAAAUAUGAAAAUGGAAAAAAGUUGGUGGUGGUGACUUUUGGGAGAGAAAGGUUUUUUUUGUUUUGAUUUAGGUUUGGAGAAGAGGGGUUGGAUGAUAUUUUUUCAGAAUUUUUGGGGGCUAGUAAGAAUGAAAAAUGAGGGGGAAU